Uranotaenia lowii is the source of this 612-nucleotide long non-coding RNA. RefSeq lists it as uncharacterized. The transcript is spliced from 3 exons. Lineage: Eukaryota; Metazoa; Arthropoda; Insecta; Diptera; Culicidae. The record is from RefSeq and is a predicted model, not a curated record.
CCUGUACAACAGACGGUUGAAAAUUGUAAUGAUUUUCUUUUUAUGAGUGUUAGUGAUCAAAGCAGGCCUGGAAAAAUCUCUGACUUUCCAACGGCCAUUUUAUCACAAAUUUCUUCAACAGCAGCAUCGUGAUAGAGCUACCGGAGAAAGCAAUUCAGCCCAAGUUUAACCUGGAGCCGGUCUGGCGGAAAGCGGUGGUGAUGGAGGGCUUGCUGAAGACAUUCAAGUCGCCUUCCCUUCAGUUUGAAAAUUUCAGUCGACACAGCAACACCGCUUUUAUAGCCCGGCAGCUAUCAAAUCAAUUCGAUAGAUAACUUGGCCCUAAGAAGGCCAUGCUUCCCGGACCGCAUGUAACAUCCGAAUGCUGCCGCAUUUGUUCACACAACACGAUGAUCUCAAGCACCGGGGCCUGUAGAUUCUCAUCUCAAAGAAGUUGGCCGUCAAGUUUGACCACGACCAGUACCUGGAGGAGGAAGGUUGACUGGUUCCGGACGGAUGUGGUGAGCUCUCCGCUAUGACCAUGGCCGGCUGGUGUAGUGAAACCUCCGCCCAAUAUUAACAAAAGGAAAAAAUGUGUCUUCUUGUAAAAUGUGUUAUUUAGGUUUAUUCAAA